RNAcentral lists this unclassified non-coding RNA (328 nucleotides) under plant metagenome. RNAcentral's name for it is "partial contains 5.8S ribosomal RNA, internal transcribed spacer 2, and large subunit ribosomal RNA". The stretch from base 1 to 105 matches the Rfam family "5.8S ribosomal RNA", at positions 50 to 154 of the family's 154-position model. The record is from RNAcentral.
GAAAUGCGAUAAGUAAUGUGAAUUGCAGAAUUCAGUGAAUCAUCGAAUCUUUGAACGCACAUUGCGCCCGUCAGCAUUCUGGCGGGCAUGCCUGUUCGAGCGUCAUUUCAACCCUCAGGACCCCCUUUCGCGGGGAGGGACCUGGCGUUGGGGAUCGGCCCGCCCCCCGUGGCGGCGCCGUCCCCGAAAUCUAGUGGCGGUCUCGCUGCAGCCUCCCCUGCGUAGUAGUUACAACCUCGCAUCGGAGCGCGGCGCGGCCACGCCGUAAAACCCCCGACUUUCUGAACGUUGACCUCGGAUCAGGUAGGAAUACCCGCUGAACUUAAGC